RNAcentral lists this transfer RNA (73 nucleotides) under Callorhinchus milii (elephant shark). RNAcentral's name for it is "tRNA-Tyr (GTA) (tRNA-Tyr-GTA-4-1)". It matches the Rfam family "tRNA". Rfam says of the family: Transfer RNA (tRNA) molecules are approximately 80 nucleotides in length. Their secondary structure includes four short double-helical elements and three loops (D, anti-codon, and T loops). The record is from RNAcentral. Lineage: Eukaryota; Metazoa; Chordata; Chondrichthyes; Chimaeriformes; Callorhinchidae.
CCUUCGAUAGCUCAGCUGGAAGAGCGGAGGACUGUAGAUCCUUAGGUCGCUGGUUCAAUUCCGGCUCGAAGGA